Molecule: ribosomal RNA, 484 nt
Filed under: uncultured bacterium
Lineage: Bacteria
Description: partial 16S ribosomal RNA
Rfam family: Bacterial small subunit ribosomal RNA
Source: RNAcentral
AUUGAACGCUGGCGGCAGGCCUAACACAUGCAAGUCGAGCGGAUGAAGGGAGCUUGCUCCUGGAUUCAGCGGCGGACGGGUGAGUAAUGCCUAGGAAUCUGCCUGGUAGUGGGGGAUAACGUCCGGAAACGGGCGCUAAUACCGCAUACGUCCUGAGGGAGAAAGUGGGGGAGCUUCGGACCUCACGCUAUCAGAUGAGCCUAGGUCGGAUUAGCUAGUUGGUGGGGUAAAGGCCUACCAAGGCGACGAUCCGUAACUGGUCUGAGAGGAUGAUCAGUCACACUGGAACUGAGACACGGUCCAGACUGCUACGGGAGGCAGCAGUGGGGAAUAUUGGACAAUGGGCGAAAGCCUGAUCCAGCCAUGCCGCGUGUGUGAAGAAGGUCUUCGGAUUGUAAAGCACAUUAAGUUGGGAGGAAGGGCAGUAAGUUAAUACCUUGCUGUUUUGACGUUACCAACAGAAUAAGCACCGGCUAACUUCGUG